ACCCACUCAGAUGUAUAGAAAGAAUCAUAUCUUUUGUGCUGUGGACUUCAAGGAUAACGAUUUAUUUUUUUCAGACAAAGGACGGGUGCGCUUUGGUUAACUUUGCCUAGGUGGCAAUUGUGCGGCUCAUUCACUAUGAGUUUGAAUCGAUAUUUAAGCAAUGACCAGAUCACUGGUCUCUCGACUGUGUACCUGGUAUCUCUGUCUAUAAGUUUGAUUGGGAGUUUUUCAGUGCUGGUGGUUUCCAUUGUAAAGAGGAGCCACCUACAAGAACAGGUGGGUGGAUGAGAGAAAGAGUAUCUUUGACUGUGUGUGUGCGUGCGUGCCUGUACCUUUUUGUGUGUG
Long non-coding RNA from Salvelinus sp. IW2-2015, 345 nucleotides. RefSeq lists it as uncharacterized. The record is from RefSeq and is a predicted model, not a curated record. Lineage: Eukaryota; Metazoa; Chordata; Actinopteri; Salmoniformes; Salmonidae.